UCGGAUGAUGUGACGAAACUGAUCUUGAUAGAAAAAAAAUGCAGCAUGCGCAGCAGCUAUAUACAUUCAAAUACUGUAGUACAAUACAAUAUUGGGGCAAAAUCGGUCAGAUAUUCCUCCCUUGGGUUUGCAUGGAUAUACCAUGUUAGGGACUAUGGAUGUAUGCUCUGCUUCUAAUAACAUGUACGUGUAUAUGGAUUUCUUUGUCCAAUCACAGUUCAGGCUCUAUGUGUUGCCAUGUCAUCUGCCUCGGGCCUUCAGAAUUCAUAAUGCCGGCUGAUGUAACCCUUCAAAUUCAUUCAAGGCCCAUGUGCUGGUGCUCGAUCGAGAAUGUCUAUUUUUCCGUCCUCUGAUUGCUUGGUCAGAGCAAGCCAAGUUUGAAUAGCAAACACAUCUGCAUUUAACAACACACUUCUCUGUUGAAUACGAUGAAUUGUAUUUUUUUUAAACGUUUCGUCAAGUCAUUAGAUAAAUAUCAAUUCUGAAUAGCUACUGUAUUACAGGUCCUUAUGAACCCUUUUUAACCAUGUUGAAACCUAGACCUCAACAAAUCAGAACAGAUGUGGUGUUGGUCCAGUCAAAUUCUUGGUGUCCCAAAAUAGGCAACCCAUUCCAGCCCACUUUUCCGUCCCCUUGUUUAGGGCCUUGCCACAGUGGUAUCCCAGUUGUGUAGGGUGGAGAUAAUCACAUUUUUGUCUGAGAGAGAACUGUGUUGCGGAAGAAGACACUAUCCUUUCUUCUUUGUUCAAUCUACUGGUGGAAAUGAGAGCAGCCAACGAGGAACCAAUUGAUCAACGUAAGUAGUUAGUGUCAGCCCUCGGAAGAAGAGAUAAAAGAUACUGAAUAAUACUUACCGCUUAGAACGCAUGACCUGUUUUUAGUUUGCCAGAAUUAUUUUUUUUUUUGAUACUACGCAACUUAAUUAAGGCUGCUUCACGGUCAAGAAAAGAAAAACGAUUGCUAAGUUCAGGAGAAGGCUAAACAAGGCAGUGGCUGUCAUAAGCUAUCAAACUCUAAUAAGGCAUAACCCAGUGGUGGGUGGGCGAGGGAAGCCGCUGUUUUCCUGCUAUUUCCAUUUAUAGACUGCAGCAAUGAGCCCCCGGGAGAUUGCUUGCCAUGACUCAUGUCUCUUGUGCUUCCAGUCCAGACUGCACCCCCACCUCUUCAUCAUCCCGAAGCGCCACUGCCUUUUUUUGCCCUGUUAUGCAGUCCUACCGACUACAUUUUGUAGGGUAUAUUCUACUCUAAAAGUACUUUAGUUGGUCCCGGUCUAAACAGACACUUACAAACGAUUAAAAUGAACUUUUAUUUGAUGAGAACGUGUGUGCUCAUGCUCAUUUUACACUGAGGAGAGCCUCAUGUAUUCUGAGAUUUGCAAGAUUUAUUCUUGCUCUAAAAGAUUUUUCACUCAGAAAUGCGAGGUACAUUUUACAAGGACAGUUUUUGAAUAAAUUGCACUUGCAUAGUAUUAGUUGUUUUUUUUUUUAAAGUGACUCAAGGGUUAAGGAACAAAUCCAUGACAGUGAGGAAGGGAGACGUCCAUACUACUACCUGAGCCAUGCCACUCCGACUGAUCUCAGAUGUCAGGCGGACUACUCAUACUUCAGACCAGUAAUUUACUAGCAUGGCCCUUUCCCAACCAGAAGUUGGUGGUCUGGGUGUCAAUCCAUGUGAGUGAUUAAAAAAAAAAAAAAACAAACUCAAAAGCUCUUCUUGUAAAAUCAAUAGAAUAAAAUAAUAAUAAUAAUAAUAAUAAUAAUAAUAAUAAUAAUAAUAAUAAUAAUAAUAAUAAUAAUAAUAAUAAUAGGCUUGCUGUUUGGUUGACACGUCUGUACCAGUGGAUUUCAUUCAUGUACAAUCAUGUUUUUUUUUCUAAGCCUCCAGGCGGAUGAGGAGAGCGAGCAAGGAGUCAACGGGAGGAGUAAAGAACAAAGGUCACAUGAUGAUGAAAGCGUGUGCGCUGAAUCACAGCCGUGUAAAUAGUAGCUAGAAUACAGACGGCGGCCAUUUCUCAGAAUUGUUGUAUUCGUGCAACGUCAACAUGGGGGUGGAGAUAUGAGAGGGUUUGGGGGAGGUGUUGGGUCUCUGUCUGCUUCUUCUCUCUCUCUUUUUUUUUAAACCUGCAGGCUUCAUCACGUGGUGAGCUUGUCUUCUUCCUCCCCCUCCCUCGAAUCCCAGCCUCCCCCUCUCUUUGGUUUUAUUCCAGUCACGGCAGCCCCCCCCCCUCCCACCACCAUCUCCCCUUCCCCCUCUGCUCAACCUCAUCCCGCCUCUCUCUGCUCUGUCAGGUCACCCGCCUUGUUUGCUCAGAUGGAACACAAGAGGAAAUGAAAGCAAUAAGUCUACUGUUAACCCGUUCGUGGGACUGUGCUGUGCUUUCCUAUGCUGUUUCACCUUGUUGUUUCCAUAUUUUGAUGAUCAUUUACAGAGUAUGAUCAGGACACUGGGUCACAUAUACCUCUCUAACAUGGCAAAUCGAAAAUAAAAGACUGAAAGCAAGAUUUUACUUAAAAAUACAGGCCAAUCUCAACAUGCGCCACAAUGGAAACUGUGUGUGUGUGCGUGUGUGUGAGAGAGAGAGAGAGAGAGAGAGAGAGAGAGAGAGAGAGAGAGAGAGAGAGAGAGAGAGAGCUCACACUCACUUAUUUCCCCUUCAGUCUGCCACGUUUUUGCUUGGUUACUAUGCAACCACAUGAGAACAACAUGCACACCACAGUAGCUGAAUCGCCAUUUUGGAUUAAAGCUCUGCAAUAAUAAUAAACAGCCUCUGGCACCGAGAUGUUGUUUUCCAGCAGCGUGCGAGUGCCAAAAUUCAGAAUGAACUGCAAUAGUAUUUAAUGCAGUGGAAAAGCAUCAGACGUCCAAACCCACAUAGCUUUUGCCACUUUGAAGGGCCUGUAAUCCCGCAGCAAUUCACUGGCUCACAGCAACACAGAAACCCGAAACGCUGCCAAAGACAUUAUUGCGCAGUUAUUGCUUUGCCUUCGUAUGAACUGCGGUAUACUCUGCUCACUGUGUUGAAAUGAGUCUCUCAGGGGACAGAAAUGUAAUUGCACCAGUAGAAAAUUGCUGCCUUUUUUUGUAACCUCAACUUGACCACAACCGAUUUUUUUCUUUGUUUGUGUUUGCUGGAAGCCCGUCCAUGUCUUUACAUGGGGAAGAUUAGAAAAAAACCCCAGCUGCAUUGGAUUUUUACUGUGCUGGAGAAGGAAUGGCUCAUGCUUAUUUUGAAGAGGCUCCAAAGAUUAUUUGGUGGGAUUUGAGAGGAGCUCAAGUGAACUUUACCCUCUCUCAGAGGAAGGGAAGGGAAACAGAGACGCUGCCGCUGCCAGAGUUAUUUGAGGCUCGGUUCAAUUUAGAAGGGAGCAAGCCGCUGUGGUCACAUUAGCAUCUUGCGCAUCGCUCAUUUAUUCAGGUGUUUCAUCUCAAGGCUCCGCUUACUUUCCCCCAAUCAACUUCUGUUGCCCUGUCUCCUUGAAAGCACACAUGAGAGGCGGUUAUGCAAACUGUACAGGCGCCCUUUUCAGCUGAGUUGCGACUAUGUGAGCGCCUUGCUCUGUUAGCGUGACAUGUCAUCAUCGUGGCCUCCAUGACCACUUGGCCCGCUUUCUUGGAAACCUCUUGACUAUUUUUCCUGGCGGCGAGCCAUAUCAAACAGAAUGGUGAAAGAGUGUGCGUUGUAAUUGAAUCCAAUGAACAGGAUAAACACGGCAAGGAGAGCAAGGAGUCACGGGAGUUGUUGGGCCCCUCGGGCGCUGCUCCACCCACACGGAGUGUUUAUGGGUCCCACACGCUGUUGCCACCUCCUCUACACGUGUACUGCAACGUACACAGAAUGAACAAGUUGCGCUGUGUUACGCUGUCAUACACACGCGAGAUGGGUUCAACCGAAGUCAAGUAUUCGACGUGUCGAAGUAUAUGACACGUAUUUCAUUGUGCUUAGCCCAUGUUUUCAUUUCUUUAUUGUCGUUGCAUGCACCAAUAUUUGAAAAUGAACUGUACGCAACUGUGUUCGAACGUUCUACAGAGAAAUGACUGUUCCUUGACCGUACUGGACGGAUGGACAAGUAUUCUCACAGAUACAUUCUAAUUCCUUCCCAGAAAACUGGAAACCUUGGCAAAAGGGUGAGAAGACUGGUCUAAUGACUGGAUGUUAUCUGCCACACAACAAUCAUAAAUGAUUUAGAUUUUUGGAUGUCUGAAUUAAUUACGGUCUCUUCAAUAAUCAUUUUCCUUUUUUAAAUAACCAGUUUAACUUUUUUUGAUCAUAUAAAUUCACAGAGAUUUU
Molecule: long non-coding RNA, 4288 nt
Organism: Hippocampus zosterae (dwarf seahorse)
Lineage: Eukaryota; Metazoa; Chordata; Actinopteri; Syngnathiformes; Syngnathidae
Exons: 2
Source: RefSeq, a predicted model, not a curated record